RNAcentral lists this ribosomal RNA (497 nucleotides) under uncultured bacterium. RNAcentral's name for it is "partial 16S ribosomal RNA". It matches the Rfam family "Bacterial small subunit ribosomal RNA", at positions 28 to 507 of the family's 1533-position model. The record is from RNAcentral.
GAUGAACGCUGGCGGCGUGCCUAAUACAUGCAAGUCGAGCGAACGGACGAGAAGCUUGCUUCUCUGAUGUUAGCGGCGGACGGGUGAGUAACACGUGGAUAACCUACCUCUAAGACUGGGAUAACUUCGGGAAACCGUAGCUAAUACCGGAUAAUAUUUUGAACCGCAUGGUUCAAAAGUGAAUGACGGUCUUGCCGUCUCUAAUAGAUGGAUCCGCGCUGCAUUAGCUAGUUGGUAAGGUAACGGCCUACCAAGGCAACGAUGCAUAGCCGACCUGAGAGGGUGAUCGGCCACACUGGAACUGAGACACGGUCCAGACUCCUACGGGAGGCAGCAGUAGGGAAUCUUCCGCAAUGGGCGAAAGCCUGACGGAGCAACGCCGCGUGAGUGAUGAAGGUCUUCGGAUCGUAAAACUCUUUUAUUAGGGAAGAACAUAUGUGUAAGUAACUGUGCACAUCUUGACGGUACCUAAUCAGAAAGCCACGGCUAACUACGUG